Molecule: ribosomal RNA, 497 nt
Filed under: uncultured bacterium
Lineage: Bacteria
Description: partial 16S ribosomal RNA
Rfam family: Bacterial small subunit ribosomal RNA
Source: RNAcentral
GAUGAACGCUGGCGGCGUGCCUAAUACAUGCAAGUCGAGCGAACGGACGAGAAGCUUGCUUCUCUGAUGUUAGCGGCGGACGGGUGAGUAACACGUGGAUAACCUACCUAUAAGACUGGGAUAACUUCGGGAAACCGGAGCUAAUACCGGAUAAUAUUUUGAACCGCAUGGUUCAAAAGUGAAAGACGGUCUUGCUGUCACUUAUAGAUGGAUCCGCGCUGCAUUAGCUAGUUGGUAAGGUAACGGCUCACCAAGGCAACGAUGCAUAGCCGACCUGAGAGGGUGAUCGGCCACACUGGAACUGAGACACGGUCCAGACUCCUACGGGAGGCAGCAGUAGGGAAUCUUCCGCAAAGGGCGAAAGCCUGACGGAGCAACGCCGCGUGAGUGAUGAAGGUCUUCGGAUCGUAAAACUCUGUUAUUAGGGAAGAACAUAUGUGUAAGUAACUGUGCACAUCUUGACGGUACCUAAUCAGAAAGCCACGGCUAACUACGUG